Triticum aestivum (bread wheat) is the source of this 2527-nucleotide long non-coding RNA. RefSeq lists it as uncharacterized. The record is from RefSeq and is a predicted model, not a curated record. NCBI's taxonomy places the organism in Eukaryota, Viridiplantae, Streptophyta, Magnoliopsida, Poales, Poaceae. The transcript has 8 exons.
AACCCGCCCCGCCGUUAAAAAAAGAGAGAAGAAAACCGUGAGCACGAUCUCUCCCCCGUCCGCAGGACCUCUCGCCCCCGCCUUCUCCGGCGCCGUUCGCCGCCCGCGGUUUGCCGCCCAUCGCGCCCUUCGCCGCGGGACAGCCGGAGCCGCCGCCCGUCGCGCACUGCGGGAGCCGCCGCAGGUUGUCGCUUGUCGCGCCCUUCGCCGCGGGAGAGCCGGAGCCACCGCCCGUCGCGCGCCGGAGGAGCCACCGCAGGUCGCCGCGGGAGAGCCGGGGCCGCCGCGAUCGUGAGCAGCCGCCCGCCCAUCCUCCAUCCCUACGCGGGCGCACCUUCCUUCAGCUCCUCCUCGCGCCGCCCCUCUCCUUUGCCCCGGCCGCCAAGACCCAGCGGUCGCUUCACCGGGUUGCGGCGCUGCCCCGCCCAAUAGCCUCCUAGCGGCCGCCUGCCGCCAUCCGCGCAGACUGCUUCACCGACGCCCGCGGCCGCUUCACCGGGCCACGGCGUCGCCCGCCCAUCCCUGUGUGUGCGACGGCUGAAAAUUUCGAUCUGCGAUGGUGCGCGGAGAUCAAGCGAUGACGGCAACAGCGUCGAGCUUUGCAGAUUUCAGCUAGAGCUUGCAGAGUUCUAAAAUAUGUUGACCAAAUCGUUUCUUCAAAACCUGGUUCACAAAUACUAUGAUCUUGCUACUAGCUUCUAUGAGUGUGGCUGGACUGAAUCCUUCCACUUUGCUCAUAGCAUUUUAGGUGGAAUGGUGAACCUUGAAGCAGAAGUACCAAACGGUACGAGCACUUUCUGGCCCUAUAGCUUGAGUUGAAGCCUGGGAUGAAGGUCGUUUUUCUUAUGAAGAUCGAAUAACCCAUGGUUUUGGAUGUCAGGUAUGGAAUAGGCAGGCCAUUAAGAGAAAUUCCAAGAUUUAGGUUUAAUUCCUGUUUCGCGCUUUCACCUCUCUUCAUACGUGUGAAUACUGAUGUGUUCGGGUUUAGACAUUCUCAUAUGCGUGAUUAACGCAACUGAAGUGAUUCAUGUUUUUCUUACUUUCAACUGAAAACUUGUGGGGGCAUGAUUUUGAGGAGGCGAUCCAGAGCACCAAUAAGUUAGAGAAGUUCGACCUCAACCUUUCCAGGAAUUAAUCUAUUUUGGAACGGAGCUCCACCUCAGUUACUGAUUGAACAACAACGACUACCAAAUAACUAGGGAAAGGUCGCCACCAAGAACGGGUCACUGAUAGUAUCAACAUGGAGGCGUGCCUUAGCCUGGAGCCCAGCAAGAAGAUCAUCGGGAGCUUCGGGACAUUUGAGACGGCCGUUCUCCAUGUGGCCAACGCCAUCCAGCUGCAGGCAUUGCGCCGGCUUCGGCAGGAGUCGGUCAAGCCCAAUGUGAGUUACCAAUCUUCUUACAUUAGAGUGUCGUAAUUGAUUUACUUAUUAUCAUAGCAAUAUGCUUGGAUGGUUGUAAUUCAUGACGGGAUUAACAGUACCCCAUCACAGAAACUUCUACAUUCAGUUAGGACUACUUAUGUCUACUUAAACGUGUUCCUUAUCCCGACUUUCAUAUACACGCAUAGUAUGAACUGUAGUCCUGCUAACUGCUAGCUUUUUUGGUCAUAUCUGAUUCUGUGGUGUUAAUCCACUCCUACGUUGCCAAACUCAGUUUGAUUAUACAUGGAGUAUGUUAUAUACUUUGAUGAUAUUUUCGGAUUUUAAAUAUAUGACAAGCACAAUCCCUGAUACUAAUGCUUACUCUGUUUAUUUUGGAUGUUCAAGUGUAGCAUCUAUUGACCAAUGCAAGCUCCAUCAGGAUGUGCGUAGUGUCCAUAAGUUCCCUUUUGGCCAGUACAUGGAGAAAAAAAACAUGGAAUGUACAACAAUCCUACAUGAAACAUUCUGAACAAAGUCAUAUUGAGCUACCCCUAGAAAUUUUUGCAGCUUCUGUGAACUCUUGUUUUAUGUUCUAUAGGGCCAACUUGCAUUUUCACGUCAAGCAUGGCUGAUUAUCAGAGGGCAAGGAAAGAUGGAGUAGCAGAAGCAUUGCUUACGAUGAGUUCAUCGGGUCAACAGUGCACAUUAACAAGCAUUGCCUGCUGUCUGCCUUCGCCUACUUUGACGAGGAUGACAGCGGGUACAUCACCGUUGACCGCUGGAAGAGGUGCGCUGGGAGUACAACACAAGCUGACCGGCAUCGCGACAUCGCCAGGGAGGUCGGCAAUGACAACAUGCGUUCGUAAUGACUUGAAGAAAGCAUAUGAGAAGCGAGUAUAGGAGCUUUAAUAUUAGAGCAACAGGGGAGGAGCAAAUGAUUGAAGGGCUAUCAGCCGUGUAAUAGAAAGCUGAGGAUAACGUCAACAGGUGGAAAACUAUAUUUGGUUGACAUAAUAACACUAGCAAAGGUGAAUAACAAUGUAACAUUAUCGUUUCAUUAGUUGAUCCAUUCAACUUUUGUUUGAUAUGACUGGCAUGAUAUUUGGAUAGGAAAGUUAUUUGUUAACUCUGUAUCAUUUUUAUGUGCAAGCUAAUAAUUAUGCA